UAAGCAAACAUUGGCUAGCUCUUGAGAGCA
RNAcentral lists this non-coding RNA (30 nucleotides) under Rattus norvegicus (Norway rat). The record is from RNAcentral. Lineage: Eukaryota; Metazoa; Chordata; Mammalia; Rodentia; Muridae.